RNAcentral lists this long non-coding RNA (3123 nucleotides) under Brassica napus (rape). Its description in RNAcentral is "long non-coding RNA (BNAP_LNC006014)". The record is from RNAcentral. Lineage: Eukaryota; Viridiplantae; Streptophyta; Magnoliopsida; Brassicales; Brassicaceae.
CUCCGUGGCUACUUCUCCUCCGCCACUCUUAGCCGCCUCGACCAGCUCCGAGUCCUGAGCCUCGAGAACAACUCCCUCUUCGGCCCCGUCCCCGAUCUCUCCGCUCUCGUUAACCUUAAAUCUCUCUUCCUCAGCCGGAACGAGUUCAACGGACCUUUCCCUCCUUCGAUUCCUUCCCUUCACCGGUUAAUGAUCCUCUCUCUCUCCCACAACAACUUCACCGGUCAGAUUCCAACUCAGAUAACCGCUCUCGACCGGUUAACUUCAUUAAAUCUCGAGUCUAACCGCUUUAACGGCACGCUCCCGUCGCUUAACCAGUCGUUUCUGACGUCCUUCAACGUCUCCGUUAACAACUUAACGGGAGUCAUCCCCGUUACACCGACUCUGUCUCGAUUCGACGCGUCGUCGUUUAAGUCCAACCCGGGGCUGUGCGGGGAGAUCAUCAACCGAGCUUGCGCUUCUUCACGCUCUCCCUUCUUCGGGUCGAGUAACAACAAAACGUCGUCGUCUUCUUCCUCCUCGCAGGCUCCGUUGGGGCAAAGCGCGCAGGCGCAGAACGGAGGAGCGGUGGUUAUCUCUCCGGUUGUUUCGAAGAAGAAAGGUAAAGAAAAUGGGUUAGUACUGGGAUUCACCGUCGGUCUCGCGUCGCUCAUCGUCCUCGGUCUCUGCCUCGUCGUCUUCUCUCUAGUGAUAAAGAAACAAACCAAAGACGAGAUUUACGAACCGAGUCAAAAAGGAGACGCGUCAUCCUCCUCUCACCAGAAUCAAGCUCUGAGUACAAGAGCCGUACCAGUUUUGAAUCCGAACUCAAACUCAAGCUCCGUGGAGAAGCUUCAGUUUCGAGCCGCCGCCGCCACGGAGCCGCAGAGCCGAGUCCCAAACAGCGGGAAUCUGAUCUUCUGCGGCGGGGGCGGGGAAGGAGGGGAGUCGAGUCAAGGGAUGUACACUCUCGAGCAGCUGAUGCGAGCCUCGGCGGAGCUUCUGGGGAGAGGAUCGGUGGGGAUUACGUACAAGGCGGUGUUUGAUAACCAGCUCAUCGUGACGGUGAAGAGACUAGACGCGGCUAAAACGGCGGUUACAAGCGAAGAGGCGUUCGAGAAUCACAUGGAGAUUGUUGGUGGACUCAGGCACCAGAAUCUUGUUCCGAUUAGAGCUUACUUUCAGUCAAACGGAGAGAGACUCAUCAUCUUCGAUUACCAACCCAAUGGCAGCCUCUUCAAUCUCAUUCACGGUAACUCUUCUAUCUUCCUAGGGUUUUAGUUUUGAACUCAGCGAGUCACCACCGAGUUGAAGAUUUACUUUACUUUACAUUAAUUAAAGAUCAUUAGUUUAAGGUCUUAAUCAAUGAUGACGUGAGAAAUCGUAAGUUGUUUCGACUAUACUUUAUUUUAAAAAACUUAAAACCCUAAAGCGCACGAGUCUUUUCUGUGUGGCGGGUUUUGUGUUUGUGCACAGUUUAGUAGUGAGAACUUGAUGAACUGAAGCUGACCACACAGCGACAAUCGCGGGUCUUACUUUUUGUAAUAAUAUUUAUUUUUUUAAAAAGUUUUUGUUCGUUUGCUCUUUUUUCUUCUGAAGUCUUCGUUGAAAUUACUUAGCAUUAGUGGAAGAAGACAGAAACCUGGUGGAACUCUGUGCUUUUUUCUUCACGUGAAAUCUCAUCUUUUUGCCAUCACUCUGUCUCUACACCUUGCGUUAGUGCCGGACAAAUAUUAAACUAUUUUUUUUUUACAUGCACUUGUUUGAUGAACCUUACGAAUUACAUUAAGAGUGUUUGCUUCUUGCUCCUGUAUUGGACCCAACACCAAAUGUGACUAACUAACUCCAAUAUUUUCACAGGUUCUAGAUCCUCGAGAGCAAAGCCAUUACAUUGGACAUCAUGUUUAAAGAUUGCAGAAGAUGUUGCCCAAGGCUUGUACUACAUUCACCAAACAUCGUCAGCAUUAGUCCAUGGAAACCUUAAAUCAACUAACAUCCUCCUCGGACAUGACUUCGAAGCUUGUUUAACUGAUUACUGCCUCAGCGUCUUAACAGAUUCAUCUUCUUCUUCUAAUGAUGAUGAUCCGGACUCUUCCUCUUACAAAGCCCCUGAGAUCAGAAAAUCAUCUCGUAGACCAACUUCCAAAUGCGACGUCUACUCGUUUGGUGUCUUGAUCUUUGAGCUUUUGACCGGUAAGAACGCGUCCAGGCAUCCGUUUAUGGCGCCUCAUGAUAUGCUUGAUUGGGUUAGAGCAAUGAGAGAAGAAGAGGAAGGAGCAGAGGAUAAUAGGCUUGGGAUGAUGACUGAAACAGCUUGUCUUUGCCGUGUGACGUCGCCCGAGCAAAGACCGACGAUGAGACAAGUGAUCAAGAUGAUUCAGGAGAUUAAAGAGAGUGUUAUGGCGGAAGAGAACGAUCCUUUCCAGUGAAACCAAUCUCGUAGGGCUUCCUCCGACCAGUUUUCCCAAGGGAGGGGGUUAAUUUAGUCAAAAAGGAGAAUAUAGAUGCGUAAAUGUAAUUACGGGAUCCACUUCAAAGCCCCAAACUCUCCCCUAGUCCAAACGGACAAAGAGCUUUGCAAAAAAAAAAAAAAAAAUGUCACUGAAGUUUUUUCUCUUCUUCCUCCUCCUCCUCCUCUUCCUCCAUGUCUCCGCCGGAUUCUCAUCAUCGGAGCCGAACUACUUCAACUCCUUGCUUCCUUCCGACGCAGUCGCUCUACUCUCUUUCAAAUCCACCGCCGAUCUCGACAACAAGCUCCUGUAUUCCCUCACCGAGCGUUACGACUACUGCCAAUGGCGCGGCGUCAAAUGCGCACAGGGCCGCGUCGUUCGCCUUGUCCUCUCCGGCGUCGGCCUCCGUGGCUACUUCUCCUCCGCCACUCUUAGCCGCCUCGACCAGCUCCGAGUCCUGAGCCUCGAGAACAACUCCCUCUUCGGCCCCGUCCCCGAUCUCUCCGCUCUCGUUAACCUUAAAUCUCUCUUCCUCAGCCGGAACGAGUUCAACGGACCUUUCCCUCCUUCGAUUCCUUCCCUUCACCGGUUAAUGAUCCUCUCUCUCUCCCACAACAACUUCACCGGUCAGAUUCCAACUCAGAUAACCGCUCUCGACCGGUUAACUUCAUUAAAUCUCGAGUCUAACCGCUUU